RNAcentral lists this small RNA (132 nucleotides) under Pseudomonas sp. LP_7_YM. Lineage: Bacteria; Pseudomonadati; Pseudomonadota; Gammaproteobacteria; Pseudomonadales; Pseudomonadaceae. The record is from RNAcentral.
UGUACCAACGGAUGGGUACAGGCGGUCACGGAAGACUGCUCACGGACAUCGCAGGAUGCGAUUCAUCAGGAUGAUGGAAAAGGAAUGAAGGGAUUACGGAAAAUGUGGGCGGGUCAAACCGCCCCUUUUUCU